AGUGAACGCUGGCGGUAGGCCUAACACAUGCAAGUCGAACGGCCGCACAGUAAGAGCUUGCUCUUACGGGUGGCGAGUGGCGGACGGGUGAGGAAUACAUCGGAAUCUACUUUUUCGUGGGGGAUAACGUAGGGAAACUUACGCUAAUACCGCAUACGACCUACGGGUGAAAGCAGGGGAUCUUCGGACCUUGCGCGAUUGAAUGAGCCGAUGUCGGAUUAGCUAGUUGGCGGGGUAAAGGCCCACCAAGGCGACGAUCCGUAGCUGGUCUGAGAGGAUGGUCAGCCACACUGGAACUGAGACACGGUCCAGACUCCUACGGGAGGCAGCAGUGGGGAAUAUUGGACAAUGGGCGCAAGCCUGAUCCAGCCAUACCGCGUGGGUGAAGAAGGCCUUCGGGUUGUAAAGCCCUUUUGUUGGGAAAGAAAAGCAGCAGGUUAAUACCCCGCUGCUCUGACGGUACCCAAAGAAUAAGCACCGGCUAACUUCGUG
This 492-nucleotide ribosomal RNA is filed under the name uncultured bacterium. RNAcentral's name for it is "partial 16S ribosomal RNA". It matches the Rfam family "Bacterial small subunit ribosomal RNA", at positions 29 to 507 of the family's 1533-position model. The record is from RNAcentral.